This 809-nucleotide ribosomal RNA is filed under the name uncultured bacterium. Its description in RNAcentral is "bacterial SSU rRNA". It matches the Rfam family "Bacterial small subunit ribosomal RNA", at positions 1 to 777 of the family's 1533-position model. The record is from RNAcentral.
UCGGCUUAGAGUUUGAUCCUGGCUCAGGAUGAACGCUGGCGGCGUGCCUAAUACAUGCAAGUCGAACGAAACUUCUUUAUCACCGAGUGCUUGCACUCACCGAUGAAGAGUUGAGUGGCGAACGGGUGAGUAACACGUGGGCAACCUGCCCAAAAGAGGGGGAUAACACUUGGAAACAGGUGCUAAUACCGCAUAACCAUAGUUACCGCAUGGUAACUAUGUAAAAGGUGGCUAUGCUACCGCUUUUGGAUGGGCCCGCGGCGCAUUAGCUAGUUGGUGAGGUAAAGGCUUACCAAGGCAAUGAUGCGUAGCCGAACUGAGAGGUUGAUCGGCCACAUUGGGACUGAGACACGGCCCAAACUCCUACGGGAGGCAGCAGUAGGGAAUCUUCCACAAUGGGCGAAAGCCUGAUGGAGCAACGCCGCGUGGGUGAAGAAGGUCUUCGGAUCGUAAAACCCUGUUGUUAGAGAAGAAAGUGCGUGAGAGUAACUGUUCACGUUUCGACGGUAUCUAACCAGAAAGCCACGGCUAACUACGUGCCAGCAGCCGCGGUAAUACGUAGGUGGCAAGCGUUAUCCGGAUUUAUUGGGCGUAAAGGGAACGCAGGCGGUCUUUUAAGUCUGAUGUGAAAGCCUUCGGCUUAACCGGAGUAGUGCAUUGGAAACUGGGAGACUUGAGUGCAGAAGAGGAGAGUGGAACUCCAUGUGUAGCGGUGAAAUGCGUAGAUAUAUGGAAGAACACCGGUGGCGAAAGCGGCUCUCUGGUCUGUAACUGACGCUGAGGUUCGAAAGCGUGGGGAGCAAACAGGA